AUGCAGGCUAGCUACUGUGUUUUGUUACUGAUCACACACACUCACUCACUUGCAUACCUGCGCCCGGAGCUCAGGCGCGCGAUCGUGGAGGAGUUCGCGGGGUUUGGCGUACGGGUGCACACCUGCUCCCGGAGCGACGCCGACCUGCAGGAGCGCCUGCGCGGUUGGCAGGCCGACCGCGGCCGCGUCCCGGGCUCCGCAUGCGACGUCUCCGUGCGCGGCGACAGGAAGCGGCUCGUGGCCACGGCCCGCGCCGAGAUGGGGGGCAAGCUGGACAUCCUCGUCAACAACGCCGGCCAGUCCUUCUACGGGGCGGCCACGGAGCGCACGCCCGAGGACUACGCCCGCCUCAUGGCCACCAACCUAGAGUCCUGCUUCCACUUCGCCCAGCUCGCGCACCCGCUCCUCGUCCGUGCGGCGGGCGGUGGCAGCAGCGGCGGCAACGUGGUGAACGUCUCAUCCAUCGGCGGGCUCCUCGGAUACCCGAUGCUGUCGCUGUACUCGGCGACCAAGGCGGCUCUGAACCAGCUCACGCGUACCCUCGCCGUCGAGUGGGCGUGCGACGGCGUCCGUGUCAAUUGCGUCGCGCCGGGACCUCCUCGAAGCGGCAUUCAGAUGGAUUCAGAGGCGGCACGGAGGAUGUGGUAGGCGGAGAGCGCGCGCACCGCUUUGGGCCGCCUAGGCGAGCCGGAGGAGGUCGCAUCGCUUGUAGGGUUCCUCUGCAUGCCGGCUGCUUCGUACAUCACCGGGCAGAUCAUCUGCGUCGAUGGCGGCCAUACCGUAGCCGCCUAG
Molecule: ribosomal RNA, 792 nt
Filed under: Triticum aestivum (bread wheat)
Lineage: Eukaryota; Viridiplantae; Streptophyta; Magnoliopsida; Poales; Poaceae
Description: partial small subunit ribosomal RNA
Source: RNAcentral